Molecule: RNA transcript, 3000 nt
Organism: Haemorhous mexicanus (house finch)
Lineage: Eukaryota; Metazoa; Chordata; Aves; Passeriformes; Fringillidae
Gene: C5H12orf75
Gene name: chromosome 5 C12orf75 homolog
Exons: 7
Source: RefSeq, a predicted model, not a curated record
CCCGGCUCCGCCCGCCGCCGGCUGUCUCCCGUGACCGCACCGCACCGGCGGGCGCAGCAGCGGCCAGGGCAGCGCCCAUGGGCUGCGGCAACUCCACGGCCGGCGGCGCUGGCGGGCGAGGUGCUACAGGGACUACUAAAGAUGUAGCAGAAGAAUCCAUAUCAGAUGAUGACAAAAGGAGGAACUAUGGCGGGGUGUACGUGGGCCUGCCGUCAGAUGCAGCUGCCAUGGCUUCCAGUCAGACAAAAGGUGCACCCAAAGAAGGAUCCUAGAGCAGAUGCUGACAGUGCAGGUACAUGGUCUUCUGAACAUCUUCUCCACUUUCUGACUGCUCUGUGAACUGAAAGAAAACAAAACCCCGUUAGGACUAACAGGCUGUGAUAGAAGCACUUGAAGAGCCCCAGCGCUAUUUUUAGUUUUGAAGAUUAGAAGGAAAUAAAGACAUCAAGAUGCAAACAGCCCGAGUCUUUUAAGAACAGUUGCCGGUGCUUUGGAGAGAGCUGUCUUUGUGCUGAAGAUUUUGAUAUUUACACAGUCUUCCGGAGAGCAAGAGAGAUCAGAGCACCAAAAAAUCCAAACUGUUGCAAGUUCCAACUACGAGUAAAGCUUAGAGUACAGCGUUGAAUCCGUUUCCAAUGAUAGUUGCAUUAUGGAAACCUCCUGCUGUUUUCCAGUGAAAGAUGAAAUUAGUGAACUCAUGGUGGAUGUUUCUGCACAAGAGCUAACUUUGAUGAUCUGCAACUUAUUUCUCUGUGGCCAUAUUGCAGAUUCCAUCAGCUAUCAGCUACGCUUCAUAUAUUUCCUCAAACAAGUUUGAUAGAUUUUAUAUAGAAAACCAUCACUACUGUCCACUCAAUAGUUUCUGUGGUAGGUUCCUUAAAUUAAUUGUUAUUUUACUUCAGAUUAAUAUAUUUGACAAGUUUGCAUCUUUUUGAGAAUAUUGCAAAUUUUAAUAUUUUUUCUGUGAAAUAUUAAGAAUAGGAUGAAACAAGCUUAAGACCUUAAGGUUCUUCAUAAUUAUUACUGUCCCUUUUAUACCAUGAGACAAAUUCUUAGUGUUUAAUUUUCACCUUGUAAAAAGAUGUUGCUCAAGGAAAUUGAUUCAAAUAAGAACAAUAUACUUCAUUGUAUUAUUUACAUGUCUGUUUAUAUGCUAUAUCUCUUUUAUAAAGCAUUACAUGUAAAAAAAUACUAACAAAAUAAGCUAUUCUGUGUUCCAUUCCGUGUAAUAAUAAUAACAUGUCCUUGCAUAAGGAUGAUGAUAGUGGGACUGAACUCCAGUGCUGCAUUCUUCCUGACCUGUAGAGGACUUUUGAUCACUAUUACAGUUUUGUAUCCCCGUCUCAUUGGAAAGCAUCUCCAGUAUGGCAAAUUGAAACAGAAUGAGCAUUAUUACUACUUUAGCAAAUUGUUCAGGUUUUAAAAUUCUUUAAGUUAAUAGCAAUUGUAAGUUUCACAUAGAACAUAAAACAGAUUGUACAUUUACAGGUGGCUGAAUAAGUAUUUAAACUAUUAAAGCCUUUUGCAUUAUUCUUUAGUCAAACUCUUUUUAAUGGGACUUGAUACACCAUACACUUUAAAUAAUCAAACAAAAAAACCUCACCCAAUCUGCACCAUGUUAAUAUAUUACUGUACAUUCAUGGCCAUUUUUAAAAUUAAAAGAAAACAGCAAACCAUAAAAUUUGGACAUGAAGCUGCCGUGAACCAUGAAAUUAUUGCCCUUUUCACUGAUACCCAUUACUACCAAUGAACUACCAUUGACUAUGAUUUCCAAUAACUUGCAGCUUUCACUUUUAUUUAGUGGUAGUUUGAUGUGAGGCAUGCAAAAAGAGCUAUUUAAAAGUAUUCCUUGCUUGUCCUCUUUUAAUUAUUUGUGACAUUAUUUAUUGCUAUUCUCCAGAAAUCUGCUACUUGGGUUAUCAAUGAUUUCAGGCUUCCAGUUCCUGACGACAAGCAUGUAUCUCAUUCUUGACCAUCAACCUCAAACUGAGAUGAAAUAAACUUCAAGAUUAAGAUGUGGUGUUAAAAUAUCUCUCAGUAUGAAUGAUAGUCUAUAGAUUAUAUCUGCAGUGUCUUGUUCUUGCAAGCCAGACUGGUGAGGAUUCAAGCAGCCCUGGGUGAUAAACAUGCAGGCUUUUCUCCUACCUGCUUACCAUAGUAUGAGGGUAUAGUUUCCACUUCACAUGUUCCACAAAUGGCCAAAAUGGUUUGCAUAAGUUUAUUUAGUACAGAGCAAUGCCUGACCUGAUCACAAUUAUCUUUCCCAAAGCAGAAAAAGCACCUGUCAUCCUAGGAUACAUCAGUAUUCAGCUUGUGCCCAAAAAGCCAACAGCAGAUGCCAGUAAUCAACCCGGUUGUUUAUCCACUUCUAUCCUUCAGUUGUUGUGAAGGAUCAUCAAAAAGGUGGACAGGGCUAAACUCGAACAUCACUUGUUCUGCUACUGGCAUCUGAAGCCUCAUGUGUGGGCAGAGGGAGGAAAGAGGUGAUUGCUGAUGAACAGCUCCUCGCAGCUGGUGGUGGGAUAGUUGCAAGGGGUACUUUCCUUGGUUCACGUCAUUGCUUAUUUUUCAUGUGCAGAGCUACAGAGAAGCUUGGAGCACUUUGCGGAAUUGGUCUUUUAAUGUUUCAUCUUCUGAAUGUGUGUGAGGUACAGUGGUUUCUUAAUAUUUUUGUUCCUCUGCGUCAUUUAAUCUCAAAAGUUUACUGACCAACUGACAAAUGUCACAUCACAGACUGGAACCUCUAAAAUAGAUAUAGAUUAAAUUAUGCUAUGCAGGCCUGUGCCAUCAAACUAAAGAGCUAGGGCCAUGCCCUUGUCUUCAAUUUGCAGAUUCUUGUCUUUUGUUUUCCCAAAGAUCCAUGAAUCUAGAAACUGUGUUACGGGAUGCUGUAUUCUGUCCUGGUCAAAUUCCACUUAGGGAACUGAUUUUAUGCUCAUGAAAAGUCCUCUAGGGUGAGCAGCCUUUGUUAAUAAAAGCACAUGUCAUUUCAUGGAGAAA